GAUGAACGCUGGCGGCGUGCCUAAUACAUGCAAGUCGAGCGAACAGACGAGGAGCUUGCUCCUCUGACGUUAGCGGCGGACGGGUGAGUAACACGUGGAUAACCUACCUAUAAGACUGGGAUAACUUCGGGAAACCGGAGCUAAUACCGGAUAAUAUAUUGAACCGCAUGGUUCAAUAGUGAAAGACGGUUUUGCUGUCACUUAUAGAUGGAUCCGCGCCGCAUUAGCUAGUUGGUAAGGUAACGGCUUACCAAGGCAACGAUGCGUAGCCGACCUGAGAGGGUGAUUCGCCACCCCGGAACCGAGACACGGUCCAGACUCCUACGGGAGGCAGCCGUAGGGAAUCUUCCGCAAUGGGCGAAAGCCUGACGGAGCAACGCCGCGUGAAUGAUGAAGGUCUUCGGAUCGUAAAACUCUGUUAUUAGGGAAGAACAAAUGUGUAAGUAACUAUGCACGUCUUGACGGUACCUAAUCAGAAAGCCACGGCUAACUACGUG
This 497-nucleotide ribosomal RNA is filed under the name uncultured bacterium. RNAcentral describes it as "partial 16S ribosomal RNA". It matches the Rfam family "Bacterial small subunit ribosomal RNA", at positions 28 to 507 of the family's 1533-position model. The record is from RNAcentral.